GACAGAGGUGCCAAGCGUUAGGCGGAAUCACUGGGCUUAAAGCGUGUGUAGGCGGACGGGUAAGUACCUUGUGAAAUCCCACGGCUCAACCGUGGAACUGCUCGGUAUACUGCCCGUCUUGAGCCACUCAGGGGUCGUCGGAACAAGCGGUGGAGCGGUGAAAUGCGUAGAUAUCUGGAGGAACACCGGUGGCGAAGGCGGCAUCCUGGACCGAUACUGACGCUGAGGAGCGAAAGCCAGGGGAGCAAACGGG
Molecule: ribosomal RNA, 253 nt
Filed under: uncultured bacterium
Lineage: Bacteria
Description: partial 16S ribosomal RNA
Rfam family: Bacterial small subunit ribosomal RNA
Source: RNAcentral